This 378-nucleotide ribosomal RNA is filed under the name uncultured cyanobacterium. RNAcentral describes it as "bacterial SSU rRNA". It matches the Rfam family "Bacterial small subunit ribosomal RNA", at positions 376 to 770 of the family's 1533-position model. Lineage: Bacteria; Bacillati; Cyanobacteriota. The record is from RNAcentral.
CGCAAGCCUGACGGAGCAAUACCGCGUGAGGGAGGAAGGCUCUUGGGUUGUAAACCUCAAAAAUUAGGGAAGAAGAAAGUGACGGUACCUAAUGUAAGCAUCGGCUAACUCCGUGCCAGCAGCCGCGGUAAUACGGAGGAGGCAAGCGUUAUCCGGAAUUAUUGGGCGUAAAGCGUCCGCAGGUGGCGAUUCAAGUCUGCUGUCAAAGCACGGGGCUUAACUCCGUAAAGGCAGUGGAAACUGAAUAGCUAGAGUGCCGUAGGGGUAGAGGGAAUUCCCGGUGUAGCGGUGAAAUGCGUAGAGAUCGGGAAGAACAUCGGUGGCGAAAGCGCUCUACUGGACGGCAACUGACACUCAGGGACGAAAGCUAGGGGAGCG